GACGUAGGGCGCGAGCGUUGUCCGGAUUUAUUGGGCGUAAAGAGCUCGUAGGCGGCUUGUUGCGUCGACCGUGAAAACCCGGGGCUCAACUUCGGGCUUGCGGUCGAUACGGGCAUCACUGGAGUUCGGCAGGGGAGACUGGAAUUCCUGGUGUAGCGGUGAAAUGCGCAGAUAUCAGGAGGAACACCGGUGGCGAAGGCGGGUCUCUGGGCCGAUACUGACGCUGAGGAGCGAAAGCGUGGGGAGCAAACAGG
This 254-nucleotide ribosomal RNA is filed under the name uncultured bacterium. Its description in RNAcentral is "partial 16S ribosomal RNA". It matches the Rfam family "Bacterial small subunit ribosomal RNA", at positions 524 to 776 of the family's 1533-position model. The record is from RNAcentral.